This 419-nucleotide ribosomal RNA is filed under the name uncultured bacterium. RNAcentral's name for it is "partial 16S ribosomal RNA". It matches the Rfam family "Bacterial small subunit ribosomal RNA", at positions 338 to 754 of the family's 1533-position model. The record is from RNAcentral.
CCUACGGGUGGCAGCAGUGAGGAAUAUUGGUCAAUGGACGAGAGUCUGAACCAGCCAAGUAGCGUGAAGGAUGACUGCCCUAUGGGUUGUAAACUUCUUUUAUAUGGGAAUAAAAUGUUCCACGUGUGGGAUUUUGUAUGUACCAUAUGAAUAAGGAUCGGCUAACUCCGUGCCAGCAGCCGCGGUAAUACGGAGGAUCCGAGCGUUAUCCGGAUUUAUUGGGUUUAAAGGGAGCGUAGAUGGGUUGUUAAGUCAGUUGUGAAAGUUUGCGGCUCAACCGUAAAAUUGCAAUUGAUACUGGCAGUCUUGCGUACAGUUGAGGUAGGCGGAAUUCGUGGUGUAGCGGUGAAAUGCGUAGAUAUUAGGAGGAACACCAGUGGCGAAGGCGGCUCACUGGACUGUAACUGACGUUGAGGCUC